GACGAGGCUCUUGUCGGCAAUGGCGCCGGGCUGGGCAAUAGCGAAAACGACGUCCAUGACGCUGCCGUCCAUCCGCGCCACUCUGGUUUCUU
Molecule: small RNA, 92 nt
Filed under: Sinorhizobium meliloti 2011
Lineage: Bacteria; Pseudomonadati; Pseudomonadota; Alphaproteobacteria; Hyphomicrobiales; Rhizobiaceae
Description: putative ncRNA
Source: RNAcentral